RNAcentral lists this ribosomal RNA (1181 nucleotides) under Lactiplantibacillus plantarum. RNAcentral describes it as "bacterial SSU rRNA". It matches the Rfam family "Bacterial small subunit ribosomal RNA", at positions 45 to 1194 of the family's 1533-position model. Lineage: Bacteria; Bacillati; Bacillota; Bacilli; Lactobacillales; Lactobacillaceae. The record is from RNAcentral.
UGCUAAUACUGCAAGUCGAACGAAACUCUGGAUUGAUUGGUGCUUGCAUCAUGAUUUACAUUUGAGUGAGUGGCGAACUGGUGAGUAACACGUGGGAAACCUGCCCAGAAGCGGGGGAUAACACCUGGAAACAGAUGCUAAUACCGCAUAACAACUUGGACCGCAUGGUCCGAGCUUGAAAGAUGGCUUCGGCUAUCACUUUUGGAUGGUCCCGCGGCGUAUUAGCUAGAUGGUGGGGUAACGGCUCACCAUGGCAAUGAUACGUAGCCGACCUGAGAGGGUAAUCGGCCACAUUGGGACUGAGACACGGCCCAAACUCCUACGGGAGGCAGCAGUAGGGAAUCUUCCACAAUGGACGAAAGUCUGAUGGAGCAACGCCGCGUGAGUGAAGAAGGGUUUCGGCUCGUAAAACUCUGUUGUUAAAGAAGAACAUAUCUGAGAGUAACUGUUCAGGUAUUGACGGUAUUUAACCAGAAAGCCACGGCUAACUACGUGCCAGCAGCCGCGGUAAUACGUAGGUGGCAAGCGUUGUCCGGAUUUAUUGGGCGUAAAGCGAGCGCAGGCGGUUUUUUAAGUCUGAUGUGAAAGCCUUCGGCUCAACCGAAGAAGUGCAUCGGAAACUGGGAAACUUGAGUGCAGAAGAGGACAGUGGAACUCCAUGUGUAGCGGUGAAAUGCGUAGAUAUAUGGAAGAACACCAGUGGCGAAGGCGGCUGUCUGGUCUGUAACUGACGCUGAGGCUCGAAAGUAUGGGUAGCAAACAGGAUUAGAUACCCUGGUAGUCCAUACCGUAAACGAUGAAUGCUAAGUGUUGGAGGGUUUCCGCCCUUCAGUGCUGCAGCUAACGCAUUAAGCAUUCCGCCUGGGGAGUACGGCCGCAAGGCUGAAACUCAAAGGAAUUGACGGGGGCCCGCACAAGCGGUGGAGCAUGUGGUUUAAUUCGAAGCUACGCGAAGAACCUUACCAGGUCUUGACAUACUAUGCAAAUCUAAGAGAUUAGACGUUCCCUUCGGGGACAUGGAUACAGGUGGUGCAUGGUUGUCGUCAGCUCGUGUCGUGAGAUGUUGGGUUAAGUCCCGCAACGAGCGCAACCCUUAUUAUCAGUUGCCAGCAUUAAGUUGGGCACUCUGGUGAGACUGCCGGUGACAAACCGGAGGAAGGUGGGGAUGACGUCAAAUCAUC